RNAcentral lists this transfer RNA (71 nucleotides) under Dolichovespula panda. RNAcentral describes it as "tRNA-Trp". Lineage: Eukaryota; Metazoa; Arthropoda; Insecta; Hymenoptera; Vespidae. The record is from RNAcentral.
AAGAUUUUAAGAUAAAUAAUCAAUUAACCUUCAAAGUUAAAAAUAUAAAUAAUACAAUUUUAUAAAUCUUA